Molecule: long non-coding RNA, 200 nt
Filed under: Capsicum annuum
Lineage: Eukaryota; Viridiplantae; Streptophyta; Magnoliopsida; Solanales; Solanaceae
Description: long non-coding RNA (CANN_LNC004581)
Source: RNAcentral
UCCUUGACACUACACUUACAUUUUUGGCUCCACGACUUAACCAUGAUUCUUUUAUUCUCCCAUUCUCCUUUAUUCAUUUUCAGAGUUAGUGUAGUUUUCUUCAUUCUUUCCACUUUUUAUGUCUUUUUCUAUUUUCUCCUUUUUUCUAUCUCUUUUAUUUUUUCAUUUUUUUUUCUUUUUCAUACUUUUAUACCACACCC